GACGAACGCUGGCGGCGUGCUUAACACAUGCCAGUCGAACGGUCAAAGAAGAGCUUGCUCUUCUGGAUCAGUGGCGAACGGGUGAGUAACACGUGAGUAACCUGCCCCAGACUCUGGAAUAAGCGCUGGAAACGGCGUCUAAUACCGGAUACGAGACAUAGCUGCAUGGCUACUGUCUGGAAAGUUCUUCUGUCUGGGAUGGACUCGCGGCCUAUCAGCUUGUUGGGGAGGUAACGGCUCACCAAGGCAACGACGGGUAGCCGGCCUGGGAGGGCGACCAGGCACCAUGGGACUGAGACACGGACCAGACUCGUACGGGACGCAGCAGUGGGAAAUAUUGCACAGUGGGCGAAAGCCUGAUGCAGCGACGCCGCGUGAGGGAUGACGGCCUUCGGGUUGUAAACCACUUUCAGCAGGGAAGAAGCGAAAGUGACGGUACCUGCAGAAGAAGCCCCGGCUAACUACGUG
RNAcentral lists this ribosomal RNA (468 nucleotides) under uncultured bacterium. RNAcentral's name for it is "partial 16S ribosomal RNA". It matches the Rfam family "Bacterial small subunit ribosomal RNA", at positions 28 to 507 of the family's 1533-position model. The record is from RNAcentral.